RNAcentral lists this ribosomal RNA (469 nucleotides) under uncultured Curtobacterium sp. RNAcentral describes it as "bacterial SSU rRNA". It matches the Rfam family "Bacterial small subunit ribosomal RNA", at positions 916 to 1381 of the family's 1533-position model. Lineage: Bacteria; Bacillati; Actinomycetota; Actinomycetes; Micrococcales; Microbacteriaceae. The record is from RNAcentral.
GACGGGGCCCGCACAAGGCGGCGGAGCAUGCGGAUUUAAUUCGAUGCAACGCGAAGAACCUUACCAAGGCUUGACAUACACCGGUAACGCCCAGAGAUGGGUGCCCCUUUGUGGUCGGUGGGCAGGUGGUGCAUGGUUGUCGUCAGCUCGUGUCGUGAGAUGUUGGGUUAAGUCCCGCAACGAGCGCAACCCUCGUCCUAUGUUGCCAGCGGGUCAUGCCGGGGACUCAUGGGAGACUGCCGGGGUCAACUCGGAGGAAGGUGGGAUGACGUCAAAUCAUCAUGCCCCUUAUGUCUUGGGCUUCACGCAUGCUACAAUGGCCGGUACAAAGGGCUGCGAUACCGCGAGGUGGAGCGAAUCCCAGAAAGCCGGUCUCAGUUCGGAUUGGAGUCUGCAACUCGACUCCAUGAAGUUGGAAUCGCUAGUAAUCGCGGAUCAGCAUGCCGCGGUGAAUACGUUCCCGGGCCUU